GUAAAUAUAGUUUAACAAAAACGUUAGAUUGUGAAUCUAGCAAUAAAAGCUCAAAUCUUUUUAUUUACC
This 69-nucleotide transfer RNA is filed under the name Mellivora capensis (ratel). RNAcentral's name for it is "tRNA-His". It matches the Rfam family "tRNA". From Rfam's summary of the family: Transfer RNA (tRNA) molecules are approximately 80 nucleotides in length. Their secondary structure includes four short double-helical elements and three loops (D, anti-codon, and T loops). Lineage: Eukaryota; Metazoa; Chordata; Mammalia; Carnivora; Mustelidae. The record is from RNAcentral.